GAGGUGCGACGGGAAAUGAAACGCAAAUACGUAAGUAACAAAACAACACCGACAACAAGAAUUAUGUUUCUUGAUUUUUUUAUAGUUAAACUUACGGCACCACACGGUCUCAAAACAGGCAAAGACACAAUAACCCGUGAGGUGCUGGUGAAAACCAGGAACCUAAAUAGACAUCAUGAUAACUAACUCAAAACAGGUGUGUUUAGGGCGCUGCUGCCAUCUGCUCCAGCCGGCGGUUUGAACACCGGUGAGAUGAGCAUACCGGACACACCUGCAAGCUCCCGCAAUGCAGGCAUGCCCACAAGGUGUGAGGGGUUGGUCAACUGCAAUGGACACAUCCACGUGUGUCCUUACAACUGUGCAGGGAGGGGGUCUGUUGAAACUGUCAGUGUGAGGACAUUAUCAGGGGUGAUCCUGAAAUAAUGGUCAACAAGACACCCUCUGAGGAGACACCAAGUUAUGUAAGAAGCAUGAUGUUGAAUUGUAUUUGGACUUCAUUCUACCUGCGACCUGUGACCUGGGUAACUGUCAGUUUGAUGCCAUUCUGGGCCAGAGACAUCAUAUCUGUAACAUUUUGACUUGAUGCAGUCUGUACAGCACCACUAGCCAGGAUAACAGGAGAA
Esox lucius (northern pike) is the source of this 623-nucleotide long non-coding RNA. The record is from Ensembl. NCBI's taxonomy places the organism in Eukaryota, Metazoa, Chordata, Actinopteri, Esociformes, Esocidae.